RNAcentral lists this transfer RNA (76 nucleotides) under Streptobacillus sp. RNAcentral describes it as "tRNA-Asn". It matches the Rfam family "tRNA". From Rfam's summary of the family: Transfer RNA (tRNA) molecules are approximately 80 nucleotides in length. Their secondary structure includes four short double-helical elements and three loops (D, anti-codon, and T loops). RNAcentral also lists the same sequence under 1 other name. The record is from RNAcentral. Lineage: Bacteria; Fusobacteriati; Fusobacteriota; Fusobacteriia; Fusobacteriales; Leptotrichiaceae.
GGAUUAGUAACUCAAUCGGUAGAGUGGCAGCCUGUUAAGUUGUGUGUUGUGGGUUCAAGUCCCGCCUAAUCCGCCA